CCUACGGGAGGCAGCAGUGGGGAAUAUUGGGCAAUGGGCGCAAGCCUGACCCAGCAACGCCGCGUGAAGGAAGAAGGCUUUCGGGUUGUAAACUUCUUUUCUGAGGGACGAAGAAAGUGACGGUCCCUCAGGCAUACGCCACGGCUAACUACGUGCCAGCAGCCGCGGUAAUACGAAGGUGGCAAGCGUUAUCCGGAUUUAUUGGGUGUAAGGGGCGUGUAGGCGGGAAAGCAAGUCAGAUGUGAAAACUCAGGGCUCAACCCUGAGCCUGCAUUUGAAACUGUUGUUCUGGAGUGCUGGAGAGGCAAUCGGAAUUCCGUGGGUAGCGGUGAAAUGCGGAGAUAUACGGAGGAACACCAGUGGCGAAGGCGGAUUGCUGGACAGUAACUGACGCUGAGGCGCGAAAGCGUGGGGAGCAAACAGGAUUAGAUACCCUUGUAGUC
Molecule: ribosomal RNA, 443 nt
Filed under: uncultured bacterium
Lineage: Bacteria
Description: partial 16S ribosomal RNA
Rfam family: Bacterial small subunit ribosomal RNA
Source: RNAcentral